CAUUCAGUCCACCCGCUGGUUGAGUGUU
This 28-nucleotide small RNA is filed under the name Bombyx mori (domestic silkworm). Its description in RNAcentral is "ovarian small RNA-13439". Lineage: Eukaryota; Metazoa; Arthropoda; Insecta; Lepidoptera; Bombycidae. The record is from RNAcentral.